CAACUUCAUUGCACAAUAGAAA
Molecule: small nuclear RNA, 22 nt
Filed under: Arabidopsis thaliana (thale cress)
Lineage: Eukaryota; Viridiplantae; Streptophyta; Magnoliopsida; Brassicales; Brassicaceae
Description: snRNA_16334
Source: RNAcentral